UACGGAGGGGGCUAGCGUUAUUCGGAAUUACUGGGCGUAAAGCGCACGUAGGCGGACUGGAAAGUCAGAGGUGAAAUCCCAGGGCUCAACCUUGGAACUGCCUUUGAAACUCCCAGUCUUGAGUUCGAGAGAGGUGAGUGGAAUUCCGAGUGUAGAGGUGAAAUUCGUAGAUAUUCGGAGGAACACCAGUGGCGAAGGCAGCUCACUGGCUCGAUACUGACGCUGAGGUGCGAAAGCGUGGGGAGCAAACAGG
Molecule: ribosomal RNA, 253 nt
Filed under: uncultured Rhodobacter sp.
Lineage: Bacteria; Pseudomonadati; Pseudomonadota; Alphaproteobacteria; Rhodobacterales
Description: partial 16S ribosomal RNA
Rfam family: Bacterial small subunit ribosomal RNA
Source: RNAcentral